UGCACUUCCCAUUAACUGCAA
Molecule: non-coding RNA, 21 nt
Filed under: Caenorhabditis elegans
Lineage: Eukaryota; Metazoa; Nematoda; Chromadorea; Rhabditida; Rhabditidae
Source: RNAcentral